AAACAUCGAGGCUCCAGCCUCCAGCAGCGCUGAGCGCCGACGCCUCCGCCUCCUUCCCGAAGGAAAAAAAAAUCGCCCCUCCUCUGCACGGCCAUUGCCCAAGUACGUCUCAUCUCCGUGGCUGUUGUCCACACGCAGGUCCCCUGCCAUCUCGCGCCGCUCGAGUUUCGGCCCUGAUUGUCUACCCCUCCAGUUUGUGAUUCCACGUUUCCGGUGAUGUUCUCUUUCCCAUCUGAACAGAUCGAUCUUGAGGCACCUUGUUGAAUUUGUAGCGCCCUCCACUCAAUGGUGGUUAGGGUUUUGGUAUUGGCGAUUGUUUCCCCCUACUGGUUUGGAGAUUUUCUCUCCUGCCAAUUUCGUCACCACCAAGGUGAAUUGAUUUAGGGCCCUUUUUCCCUCACAAUUGAUUUCUUCUUCUUCUAUUCUGGUCUUAUUGGCAAGAUUUGGGCUUUCUUCUUCUAUUCUGGUUUGGAGAUUUUGGCUGCCAGGAUUUAUUGAUGCAAUCCACUCUUCCUUCUGUUAUUCUUCACUAACCGAUUUGUUUCAUUUGAAUCUUUGCAUUGCAGUGACAUGUUCGCAGGAGAGGUCCUGGUGGUAUUCACAGAGAUUUCAUCUUUGGAGCAUCAGCACGUCUAUUUUCUAUUCUGGAUAGUAUGUGCUCGGCAAGGUAUGCAUCUUCGAUCCAAAAGUGAGCAUCCCUUUGUUAUAGAAUUCUGUUUAGAAACUGAUGGGUUUGGAAUCAUAUGUUUGUUCGAUUUACUUGAAUGAAAGAACAGAGGGUGAUGAUACUUAGUAAUUUAGAAUGUGCUUGUGCCUUGUUAACCAGUUUUUACUGCUUGGCAAAAUAAAAAUGCUGGUUAUCCCAUAUGCAGUUUUUUUAGUGUCUCAUAGCAGGGCUCUGGCUUUAAGUGCAGUUAAUCUCAGUGCAGAGUGUUACUGGGGAAAGAAAAACCAGCAAUUCAGUGACGAUAGAAAGUGCCAAUAUUCUACCUCAUAGAUAGGGAUUAGUUCUUAAUUUGACAAUGUCAUAAAUUGUUUGGUUUCGGGUUUAUUUUUAUGGUUAACUUCUGUAAAUCAUAUAUUUCAUAGGUUUACUUCUGCCAACAUUUACUCAUCAAUAUCACUACUGUUCCUUGCUUCAUUGCAGGAACUAAAUCUGUAGCAACAAGAAAGGGUAAACUGUCUUUUUUUGGUGUUCGAAUCUCUUCAGUUCCUUGUUUACUUGUAAAUUAGUUGUGUAUAUAAUGUGUGGCUCGAGGUAUUGCUGUGAGCUUUUAUAUACAGAAACGGUGUCUGGGAUUUAAACCUCAAGGUAAGGAAGAGCACAUCUUAAUUGCAACUGAAAAGAACUACAGUGUAUUUUUCCUGCAAAUAAAUUUUCUUCUCAUAUCUUUUUUUUUUCCCUAGAAAUUUUUGGAUUAACUGACCAACAUCUUAAGGUACUAAAGAACAGAAUUUUAGCUCAAAAGAAAGGUGAUGUUCCAUCAUAUUGUCAUAAUAUCUAGCUGUUUUCAGUCAUUCCUAAAGCUAAUCUAAAAGGAAGAACAUAAAAGUCAGGGUCUUUUGUGUAGCUACAGCCUACAAGAUUGGUUACUUUACUGUUGUGGUUUGCAAUAUUUGACUAUGAACCUCACUCUGUUUUACCUAGCUGUUGGGAUCUUAGGGUACCUGGUUAUAUUCAUGCCAUCACAACACUACCAAAGAUCAUUGCAAGCAUGAUGUUGACAGAUUACCUUUCUAAAAGUCCACUGCCAAUGUUAUUACUGAAUUUCAUUGGUUUGCACCUCGAUCUCCAUAUCCUUCUUAUUCUUUUGGCUUGGGGUUUCACUUUUUCAGAAUUGGAGUAAGAUGCCUAAUUCAUGUCGCGUUUCCCUCCUAACAAGUUGGGAGUGGCAUUCUUUGCAGAUUCUAACACCGAAUUUGUUACAAUGAACUUUGGAGGCAUUGAAGAAGUCCAAGUAUCCAUUAAGAAAUUUUGGGAUGCCUGCCCUUAAUGAAGGUAUUAGAGACCAAGAUAUCUCCAAUGAAGGGUAGUGUCCAAUCAUAUCUGCCUUUUUCCCAGUCAUUUCUAAACCUAAGUAAAAUGAAGAGCAAAAAAAAAAGGCUAAGAUUUUUAGCCACAAGAUUGAUGAUUCUGCUGUUGCUUCCAGCUUGAAUUAUUUACAAAAAUUUCUUCUUCUCUGCAGGAUCUCAGGCUAUGGUUGGCUUUUCGGUAAGCUAGUCAAUACCUGUCUGAGAGCCCCCUGGAGCUCCUAUAUCAUGUCAAGUCUGUAUGUUGUAAUAGCACUCAAAGACUGUUUCCAUCCAUGCUAUCAAAUCUAUCCUUGUCAACCAUAGAAGACUGCCACUUAGUUACGUUAAAAAAAAAUAUUUGUAUCUGUCCGUAGCUAUGUUGUAAACUAUAUGUGCUUCUUCGGACUAAACUACUGUGGGACCCUCGUCAUGUAACUUAUCUUGAA
Molecule: long non-coding RNA, 2459 nt
Organism: Setaria italica (foxtail millet)
Lineage: Eukaryota; Viridiplantae; Streptophyta; Magnoliopsida; Poales; Poaceae
Exons: 3
Source: RefSeq, a predicted model, not a curated record